Molecule: long non-coding RNA, 2141 nt
Organism: Gorilla gorilla gorilla (western lowland gorilla)
Lineage: Eukaryota; Metazoa; Chordata; Mammalia; Primates; Hominidae
Exons: 5
Source: RefSeq, a predicted model, not a curated record
CCGCCUCCCCUGCCUCUCCCCGCCUCCCCUGCCUCUCCCCGCCUCCAGGUCCCUCCCUAUCAGUCUCCUCCCAUCCCAGCCUCCCCUGCCCCUCCAGGCCUCCCUGUCCUUCCCCAUCCAUCCCCUUCCCUCCCCUCCCAGCCCCUCCCGGCCUCUGCUCUCCCUUCCCGCCUCCCCUCUCCCUUCCCGCCUCCCCUCUCCCUCCCCUCCUCCCCUGGCCCCCCAGUCUCCCUGGCCUUCCCUAUCCAUUCCCAUCCAUCCCCUCCCCUCCCCUCCCCUCCCCCUCCUCUCCUACUCUCUUCCAGCCUUCCCUGCCCCUCCUAUCCUCCCCAUUCCUCCCCAUCCUAUCCUCCCCAUUCCUCCCCAUCCAUCCCAGACCAUUCCCACCUCCCCACUUCGGGCCCCUCCAUGCCUGCACUCUUCAGGCUCCUUCUCCUCUGUCCCUUUCCCCUUUCAACCCCCAGACACCGCCUCCCAUGCCCCUCAUCUCCCUCCUCCACUCCUGUCCUUGCUCCCACUUCGCCCCCACCCCAGCUCGGCCCCUCUUCAUCGCCCCUGCCUCGUCCCGCCCCUCCUCUGUCUUCCCUUCCUACCCACUCCUGGCCUCUCCCUGUCCCUGUCCCUCCUAUCCUCUUCUUUCCCCUCUUCUCACCCCACUCCUGGCCCCUCUUCCCCCACCCCUUCCACACCUAUGCCCCCCUUCUACCCACUCCACCCCCUCAGCUCCAUCUCUUCCCAAAGACCUGUCCCUCCUCCCAAGCUUAGGUCACCCUGCCCUCCAGAGAGGUGUCAAGGCCCUCUGGGCCCUAAAAGCAUGCGACCCCCUAGUUUCAUUUCCUCAGAAAAGGGAAAGAUAGAGGUCUCGGCCUUCCGGAGUCUUCGGAGGUCCUGAGUAUCCGUGAGCAUUUGGUCAAGGUCUAGAAAUCACUAAGGCAGAGGUAGUCUAGGAGCUAGAGACGGAGCCUGGGUGACCGAGCCAUGGACACUACAUUGCAGGGCUGCUGCCAGACAGAAAUGUGACACGAACCCAGGAGCAAUUUAAAACUUUCUGGGAGACACAUUUCAAAAAGUAAAAAAGAAACAGGUGAAGCCUUGAAUAUCAGUUCCCUUAGCAGAGUUCAGUGACCCGGGAGAGUGGUUCCUGUUCCUGCUCAGGAUCCUGCUAAGCUGACUCACUGGGUGCUGGAGCUGGAGCCCCAGGCCUCCUGCUGCAUCUUGUCAGAAUCCUGCUAGUAGAAGCCAGCCAGGCCAAAACUCUGCCCUACCAGAAAAUCCUGUUGCCAGCAUCCUCAAUCUGUCUUUUUAAAAAUGCAUUUUAUAGUAGGUUGCAGACAUUAGUAUACUCCACUCCUAAACAUGUGUUAGUAUGCGUAUCAUUAACUAGAGCUCAUCAUUUAUUUAUACCUUUUCCAUUUGUUAUAAAAUGUACCUAUAGUGAAAUGCACGAAUCUGAAGCAUACAUUAACUAAAUUUUGACGAAGUCACACUCUGUCAGAUACAGAGCAUGAUCACCCCCCAGAAAGUUCCCGUGUCCCCUUUUCCAGUCAACUGGGGGCCUCACUUCUGAGACAGCCACUGCACCAAUGCUUCAUUUACUAUUGAUGAGUUUUGUUUAUUGCAGAAGUGCAUGCCGACAAAUUUUUACAUCAUGUAGACUUUUACGCUUGCCAUUUUUCACUCAGCAUGAUGUUUUUAGAUGUAUCCAUGUUAAACAGUAUAUUCAUACAUCAGUCUUUGAUUGCCACACAUGAGGCUCCUGACACUCGCAACCCUGGAUUUCAGGCAGCAUUUGCUGUAGUGAGGAGGCAGCUCUCGAGCACUCGGAGUUUUUGCCGCUACUUCCCCUUUCUCCUUUCUAAUCUGGACCAGCUGCCCUGCCUUACCCCUACUCUCCCUGCUCCUCCUCUUUCAUCUUUCUCUUUCUCCUAAGGUUACUUUCACUUUUAGCUCCAAGCGGAAUCUAGAAGGGGGAAAAAGUGUCACCAUCAAUGGAGCAAAACCCAAUUUUCUAAGACAACGAACAGAUUUCUCCAACUCUUCUCCAUAUUUGAAAAUAAAAGUUCUUGUAUUUUUAGAAUCAAAUUAGUACAUGCUUAUUAUAAAAUGAAUAAGAAAAUGAAUAAAAGUGUAAGAAAGAUAAA